UGGGGAAUAUUGGACAAUGGGGGCAACCCUGAUCCAGCAAUGCCGCGUGAGUGAAGAAGGCCUUCGGGUUGUAAAGCUCUUUUGUCAGGGAAGAAACGGUGGUGGCGAAUAACUACUACUAAUGACGGUACCUGAAGAAUAAGCACCGGCUAACUACGUGCCAGCAGCUGCGGUAAUACGUAGGGUGCAAGCGUUAAUCGGAAUUACUGGGCGUAAAGCGUGCGCAGGCGGUUGUGUAAGUCAGAUGUGAAAUCCCCGGGCUCAACCUGGGAAUUGCAUUUGAGACUGCACGGCUAGAGUGUGUCAGAGGGGGGUAGAAUUCCACGUGUAGCAGUGAAAUGCGUAGAUAUGUGGAGGAAUACCGAUGGCGAAGGCAGCCCCCUGGGAUAACACUGACGCUCAUGCACGAAAGCGUGGGGAGCAAACAGGAUUAGAUACCCGUAGUCCCUGAGCGGGCUGGCAAGGCGCAU
Molecule: ribosomal RNA, 470 nt
Filed under: uncultured bacterium
Lineage: Bacteria
Description: bacterial SSU rRNA
Rfam family: Bacterial small subunit ribosomal RNA
Source: RNAcentral